Molecule: long non-coding RNA, 513 nt
Organism: Oxyura jamaicensis (ruddy duck)
Lineage: Eukaryota; Metazoa; Chordata; Aves; Anseriformes; Anatidae
Exons: 3
Source: RefSeq, a predicted model, not a curated record
GCUGGAGGGCAGAGAUGCCUGUUGCUGCCAUCUGAGGGUGGCAGAGACACCGUGUGUGAGGUGUGAGUGUGUGGAUGACCUGGUCAGCCUGGUGGCAGAGCUCAAGGAGGAGGUGGAGAGGUCAAGGGCUAUCAGGGAGUGUGAGAGGGAGAUAGACUGGUGGAGCAACUCCCUGCCAGGCCUGAAGGAAAGGCACUGGGGUGAGACACCCCAAACAGUGGUGGACCCUCUGCCCUGUCACUAUCGGGCAGAGGGAGGGAACCUAGGAGAUGAAGAGGAAUGGAAACAGGUCACUGCUCAGCAUCACAGGCAACCCCCCUCUCUACCAGCAUCGUCUUCCCAGGUGCCCUUACAUAACGGGUUUGAGGUGCUGGAGAUUGAGAGACUGGUGGGUGAAGAUGAAGUGAAAAGUCUACACAGGAGGAUGCCUAGGGCGAGGAAGUCAACUCCACGCCUCAAGACUGCCUCCACUAAGAAAGAAAGACGGUUGAUUGUUGUAGGCGACUCCCUUCU